Long non-coding RNA from Myotis daubentonii (Daubenton's bat), 662 nucleotides. RefSeq lists it as uncharacterized. Lineage: Eukaryota; Metazoa; Chordata; Mammalia; Chiroptera; Vespertilionidae. The record is from RefSeq and is a predicted model, not a curated record.
CUGUCUCCAGGAGCAACCCAAGCCUCCUGCUCACUCCAGCUCAGUGACCACCGCCAUCUUCAGUCAUCUUCAGUCUUCACUCUGUGCCUGCAUAUGCAAAUGAACUGCCAUCUUUGUUGGGUUAAUUUGCAUAGUUGCUCUGAUUGGCUGGUGGGUGUAGCAGAGCGGCAGAGUGAUGGUUACUUUGCAUGUUUCUCUUUUAUCAUAUAGGACUAGCAAAGAGACAACUUUCUGACAUAUCCUGCCUGCAACUUUGACAUCUGAAAUUCCUCUACCACUCCCAUCCAUCAUAUUGCUAGAGAAAUUAUGGAAAUAUGCAAAUAAAAUAAUAGCUUUUUUUUUUAGUUUGUAUCUCAGCUCCAUGUCCAGCCAUUACAGAAAAUACAUUUGAAUACAGAACAGAAAGGGGGAAGCACAUAAAAAUAAGGAGUAAUUCUGAGGCCUUGAAAUCUGACAGAGGACAACUGUCGGGGACCAGAAGCAGGAAACUUAAAGGCAUCAAAGAAGAAAAAUAGGUCUUUUACGAUUCUGCCUAAAGCUCUAGAAUGUUGGUUCGCUGGGGUCCCUACUUUCAGAGUCCUGACUCAGAUCGUUUAUCUGCACCUACACGGCCUGCUGCCAUGGCGCCUGGCCAGUGUCCUCCCCUGUGCAGCCUUUUCAGG